AACAAGGUCUCCGUUGGUGAACCAGCGGAGGGAUCAUUACCGAGUUUAC
RNAcentral lists this ribosomal RNA (49 nucleotides) under Fusarium commune. RNAcentral's name for it is "partial 18S ribosomal RNA". The record is from RNAcentral. Lineage: Eukaryota; Fungi; Ascomycota; Sordariomycetes; Hypocreales; Nectriaceae.